This 253-nucleotide ribosomal RNA is filed under the name uncultured bacterium. RNAcentral's name for it is "partial 16S ribosomal RNA". It matches the Rfam family "Bacterial small subunit ribosomal RNA", at positions 524 to 776 of the family's 1533-position model. The record is from RNAcentral.
UACAGGGGGUGCAAACGUUGCUCGGAAUCAUUGGGCGUAAAGCGCACGUAGGCGGUCUGUUAUGUCGGAUGUGAAAGCCCUUGGCUCAACUGAGGAAGUGCAUCCGAAACUGGCAGGCUAGAGUACUAAAGAGGAUCGCGGAAUUCCCGGUGUAGAGGUGAAAUUCGUAGAUAUUAGGAAGAACACCAGUGGCGAAGGCGGCUCACUGGAUCGGUACUGACGCUGAGGUGCGAAAGCGUGGGGAGCAAACAGG